GAUGAACGCUGGCGGCGUGCCUAAUACAUGCAAGUCGAGCGAACGGACGAGAAGCUUGCUUCUCUGAUGUUAGCGGCGGACGGGUGAGUAACACGUGGAUAACCUACCUAUAAGACUGGGAUAACUUCGGGAAACCGGAGCUAAUACCGGAUGAUAUUUUGAACCGCAUGGUUCAAAAGUGAAAGACGGUCUUGCUGUCACUUAUAGAUGGAUCCGCGCUGCAUUAGCUAGUUGGUAAGGUAACGGCUUACCAAGGCAACGAUGCAUAGCCGACCUGAGAGGGUGAUCGGCCACACUGGAACUGAGAAACGGUCCAGACUCCUACGGGAGGCAGCAGUAGGGAAUCUUCCGCAAUGGCGAAAGCCUGACGGAGCAACGCCGCGUGAGUGAUGAAGGUCUUCGGAUCGUAAAACUCUGUUAUUAGGGAAGAACAUAUGUGUAAGUAACUGUGCACAUCUUGACGGUACCUAAUCAGAAAGCCACGGCUAACUACGUG
This 496-nucleotide ribosomal RNA is filed under the name uncultured bacterium. Its description in RNAcentral is "partial 16S ribosomal RNA". It matches the Rfam family "Bacterial small subunit ribosomal RNA", at positions 28 to 507 of the family's 1533-position model. The record is from RNAcentral.